AGUAUGAAAAUUUUGCGUCCCCGUUUAUCUUCCGUCGCAAUAGCAGUAGCCAAACAUCAACCUGUUACUUCGGCAAACGUUAACAGUGGCAAAGCUACCUAAAAUUUGCAACCGCAUCGACCUACCGUCGCGUUAGCCAUCCAAAUAUUUAGAUGAAAAACAGUUUAUAAGUAUUAUAUGUUAGGCAGAAAAAAUCUACUGAACAAAACCUAGCCCCUCUUCGAUGAGAAAAAGCUCUCUCCCUCAGCCAUCUAUUUUGCCCAUCUCGAUCCGUACCAUCCUUUGUAGAUUUCCUACCCCUUCAAUCCAAUUUCUCCUCUCCUCUCUCUUUCUCACCCAUCCAUUCCUAAAUCCCUAAAUCUCCAGGAGCCCAGAAAGAGCGAUGUACUUAAUUUGCUGGCUAAGAUUGAACUUCUUUACCAGAUUUCUAUCAAAUCCGGUCGAUUCACUAGCUAGAAGAUCUACGAACCUAGAUGUUCAUCUAGAAAGAAAUUUGAUGAAACACAAAGGAAAAGGUGAGAUCUACUCAAAUCUGAAUGUGAGUGUUUGUCCAUAUCUUGCGGUGAUUUUAUUUUUUUAUUUUUUUGGUUCAUUUGAGCUGUUCGUACUUCGUAGUGUUUUCUUAAGAUUCAGAGUACUUCUGUAUAAGCCAGCCAUUUUAGAGAGCAGUUUAGCUCGACACAAUCUUUUGUUAAAUUGGGGAGCUUGAUCCAUAGUUUUAGUCUUUGUAAUGUCUGUAGAUUUGGUGCUAUCCUAUGCAAUGAAUCCUAGGUAAUUUCAAGUAAGUUAUGGACAAAUCUAGUCUCAUUUAUAAAUAGUAUAUGCAUUCAUCAUCCAGUUCGUGUUUACCAAAUUGUGAUCCAAAAUUGUUUUGCUUCAAAUUGUGAUCCAAUAUUAUUUUGGUAUUCUAAAUUGUGAUUUACUUUGUGUUUUUAAUUUUCUGUUACAACAGUAUUAGAGCAUGAUUGCUUUUAUAACCUAAAAUUGGUUUAUAACUUUAUAUUGAUUCUCUGGUUUGUAAUGUUUCCAUGUAUGCAUACUCACAGGUUAUUGUGCUAGACUAGAGAUGUAACUUAGCUUAUAUGUUGAAACUAUAUUCUUUAUAUUAUUGGAUUCAUCUGCUUUGACUUGCAGUAUUUUCAUAUUUUGGUCAUUUAUGCUGCCUUUGGUCUGCUACAAGGCAAAAGUUAUACAAAUAUAAAAGUUUUCUUAUCAGGAGCCCUGUUGGCCAAAUUCUUAUGAACCUCGACUAUUUGCAUAUGAAUCAUAUUCUUCAUCUAGAGUGUCAAGUUUCAUUACAUAUUUGUUCUUGCGUACUUGGCCAAGGUGAUGACUGUUUGGACUUGCCAAGAUGUUGACUUUAGAUGAUCUUGCUUGCGAUGCACAAUGUAUUGAAUCUAUCUAUAUCAAAUGUAUCUUAAUUCAGGAGGAUUGGUAGCUGUAUGUGUCCCAAUCUGAUAUACCUUGUAGUUCCAAAUCAGAUAUGAUCUUUGGGAAGAGGAAAAAAAAAAAAAACCUACGAGCAAAGAGGAACCAAUGACUGAACCAUGUCGCAUAUAGAUUGUUGAAUUUAGUUCUAGCAUGAUAGAGAGGAGUACCAAGAUCAGUCUUCUGCUCAAACUGGGGUUGCAUUAGCUGAGUCACCAAAUGAGGCUCUUUCUCUUAAUUGCAUACCUAAUAUGGUGCUGCAUGAUUGACCAACGAUAAAUUCAAGGGUAUGAUGUCAUCUUCAGAAUCUAGUGAAGAUGGAGGAAAUGAAGUGUUCUGAUGAUUACCAGUUUUCCAGUACAUUAACUAUAUGUAAUUUAAUUUUGUAAAUUUAUGUAUUUGAACAUUGGUGAAGAUAAAUAAAAUUAAUGUUAAAAAGUAAUUUGAUGGAACA
This is a long non-coding RNA of Rosa chinensis, 1882 nucleotides long. RefSeq lists it as uncharacterized. The transcript is spliced from 6 exons. NCBI's taxonomy places the organism in Eukaryota, Viridiplantae, Streptophyta, Magnoliopsida, Rosales, Rosaceae. The record is from RefSeq and is a predicted model, not a curated record.